UAAAGCGUGCGCAGGCGGUUUUGUAAGACUGUCGUGAAAUCCCCGGGCUCAACCUGGGAAUGGCGAUGGUGACUGCAAGGCUAGAGUUUGGCAGAGGGGGGUAGAAUUCCACGUGUAGCAGUGAAAUGCGUAGAUAUGUGGAGGAACACCGAUGGCGAAGGCAGCCCCCUGGGUCAAAACUGACGCUCAUGCACGAAAGCGUGGGGAGCAAACAGGAUUAGAUACCGAGU
RNAcentral lists this ribosomal RNA (230 nucleotides) under uncultured bacterium. Its description in RNAcentral is "partial 16S ribosomal RNA". It matches the Rfam family "Bacterial small subunit ribosomal RNA", at positions 561 to 790 of the family's 1533-position model. The record is from RNAcentral.